AUCGAAAACAAAACACAACAAAACAUUCUUCACAAACACCACAAACAUGUCCAACCUUUUGAACAAAGCCAAAGAUGUCUUGGGCAAGAGCGGCAGCAGUGGCAGCGGUCACACCGAGGGUGGACAGCAGCAGUCCAGCAUUGAGAAGGGCGUGUCCGGACAGGCUCACACUCAGAUCGACAACUUGACCGACAGGGCCGGCCUUGGCGACAAGUACGACGACAAGAUCAACAAGUUCGCCGAUGGCCAGAUCAACAACCAGAUCCCCGGCGGAGCUGGCAACAACGCCGGCGGCAGCGGUGGACUCGGU
Molecule: unclassified non-coding RNA, 310 nt
Filed under: Hevea brasiliensis (rubber tree)
Lineage: Eukaryota; Viridiplantae; Streptophyta; Magnoliopsida; Malpighiales; Euphorbiaceae
Source: RNAcentral